RNAcentral lists this ribosomal RNA (471 nucleotides) under uncultured bacterium. Its description in RNAcentral is "partial 16S ribosomal RNA". It matches the Rfam family "Bacterial small subunit ribosomal RNA", at positions 28 to 507 of the family's 1533-position model. The record is from RNAcentral.
GACGAACGCUGGCGGCGUGCUUAACACAUGCAAGUCGAACGGAAAGGCCCUGCUUGCAGGGUGCUCGAGUGGCGAACGGGUGAGUAACACGUGGGUGAUCUGCCCCUUACUUUGGGAUAAGCCUGGGAAACUGGGUCUAAUACUGGAUAGGACCAUGCUGUAGGUGGUGUGGUGGAAAGAUUUUUUCGGUAAGGGAUGAGCUCGCGGCCUAUCAGCUUGUUGGUGGGGUAAUGGCCUACCAAGGCGUCGACGGGUAGCCGGCCUGAGAGGGUGGACGGCCACAUUGGGACUGAGAUACGGCCCAGACUCCUACGGGAGGCAGCAGUGGGGAAUAUUGCACAAUGGGCGCAAGCCUGAUGCAGCGACGCAGCGUGGGGGAUGACGGCCUUCGGGUUGUAAACUCCUUUCAGCCAUGACGAAGCCUCUUUUGGGGUGACGGUAGUGGUAGAAGAAGCACCGGCUAACUACGUG